GCGCGGGUGGUGGAAUUGGUAUACACGAGAGACUUAAAAUCUCUUGGCUUUAUGGCCUUGCGGGUUCAAGUCCCGCCCCGCGCACCA
Molecule: transfer RNA, 87 nt
Filed under: Candidatus Saccharimonadota bacterium
Lineage: Bacteria; Candidatus Saccharimonadota
Description: tRNA-Leu
Rfam family: tRNA
About the family: Transfer RNA (tRNA) molecules are approximately 80 nucleotides in length.
Source: RNAcentral